UGGACCAGUGAUGACAACUGGUGUAUAUUAUUGUUGUAUAUGAUGAAUAGUACAUGUACAACCUUUGAGCUCCAA
Molecule: small nucleolar RNA, 75 nt
Organism: Otolemur garnettii (small-eared galago)
Lineage: Eukaryota; Metazoa; Chordata; Mammalia; Primates; Galagidae
Source: Ensembl